UGGAGCGUAGCCUGAUCCAGCCAUGCCGCGUGGUGUGAAGAAGGUCUUUCGGAUUGUAAAGCACUUUAAGUUGGGAGGAAGGGCAUUAACCUAAUACGUUAGUGUUUUGACGUUACCGACAGAAUAAGCACCGGCUAACUCUGUGCCAGCAGCCGCGGUAA
RNAcentral lists this ribosomal RNA (161 nucleotides) under uncultured bacterium. Its description in RNAcentral is "partial 16S ribosomal RNA". It matches the Rfam family "Bacterial small subunit ribosomal RNA", at positions 372 to 523 of the family's 1533-position model. The record is from RNAcentral.